RNAcentral lists this ribosomal RNA (199 nucleotides) under uncultured bacterium. Its description in RNAcentral is "partial 16S ribosomal RNA". It matches the Rfam family "Bacterial small subunit ribosomal RNA", at positions 328 to 539 of the family's 1533-position model. The record is from RNAcentral.
ACGCUCGACACCUACGUGAGGCAGCAGUCGGGAAUAUUGCGCAAUGGAGGAAACUCUGACGCAGUGACGCCGCGUAUGGGAAGAAGGUUUUCGGAUUGUAAACCAUUUUAGACAAGGAAGAAACAAGACAGUACUUGUAGAAUAAGCUCCGGCUAACUACGUGCCAGCAGCCGCGGUAAUCUGAGCGGGCUGGCAAGGC